GGGGAUGUAAAGGUUUCGACGGGGAUCUCGAAGAGCGAUAAGCGGGUAGAGGCGCGCAGAACUCUUUAAAAGGCGCACGUUUUAAAAUUAGACGACAACGAUAAUUUUGAACUGGCUGCUGCCUAAGUGCAGUGCCCGUCUUGCCUGAGAGUACCACGGCUCAGGUAAAGGCGUCGACUUAGUGGUGAACGUUCCCGGGCAACGGCUGUAGCCAGAGAAUGUAUCACAGCCUACCGAACAGUGCCGCUUGCUUGUUUGCAGCGCUGCAAGGGAAACGGCGCAAGCCGCAAUAACAAGCUGCACCCGAAGAAAUUCGCUGGGACAGGUUUUCGGACACGGGUUCAAUUCCCGUCAUCUCCACCA
RNAcentral lists this transfer-messenger RNA (363 nucleotides) under Oscillospiraceae. Its description in RNAcentral is "Ruminococcus_D sp900104495 Standard tmRNA". It matches the Rfam family "transfer-messenger RNA". From Rfam's summary of the family: Bacterial tmRNA, also known as 10Sa RNA or SsrA, is named for its dual tRNA and mRNA-like properties. Lineage: Bacteria; Bacillati; Bacillota; Clostridia; Eubacteriales. The record is from RNAcentral. RNAcentral also lists the same sequence under 1 other name.